GGGAAAGUUGAAAAGAACUUUGAAGAGAGAGUUCAAUAGGGCGUGAAACCGCUUAGAAGAAAACGGACGGAGCCGUCAGGGGCCUUUGGGAAUCAGUCUUAUGAUACGCGAAACUAUUGUAGUCCAGAACGCAAGUCUGGCUGCGGUAUUAUUAGCAUUCAUUAGGCGCAUUUCUCGAAGGUAUGCACUGCGACCGAUACUUCGGCCGAUGAGACGUUUGGAUUGAGGGCGAGUUUCUUCGGAUUCUCGUAACCAGUCCUUACGUUUAAGUCAUUGGACCGCANUAUGUAUCGGGAGCCAUAGUAUGAAUAUAUGCCGGCGUAAACGCUCGCUCGUACAAUGGAUAGUUUGGUCAAUGGUUUGGUAUCUGCUCGCAGGUGCUAGGCUAUUCGAUUCGGCUUUGAAGUUGUCGGCGACUUCCGGCGUAUAGGCGUCUGCAGUGUCAGUGUCGGUCACCCGUCCGACCCGUCUUGAAACACGGACCAAGGAGUCUAACAUAUGCGCAAGCUAAUGGGUGUAAAACCCAAAGGCGCAAUAAAAGUAAACGCUGUUUCGGACAGCUUAGGUACGAUCCUAUGUUCCGAGUGUUCAUGGGCGCAGUACCGUCCCGUCCCGACCGCAUAUCGGUAGGGCGGAGAUAGAGUGCAUACGUUGGGACCCGAAAGAUGGUGAACUAUGCCUGAGCAGAGCGAAGCCAGAGGAAACUCUGGUGGAGGUUCGUAGCGGUUCUGACGUGCAAAUCGAUCGUCAGACUUGGGUAUAGGGGCGAAAGACUAAUCGAACCAUCUAGU
RNAcentral lists this ribosomal RNA (791 nucleotides) under Mesodorylaimus sp. RNAcentral's name for it is "partial large subunit ribosomal RNA". It matches the Rfam family "Eukaryotic large subunit ribosomal RNA", at positions 357 to 948 of the family's 3401-position model. The record is from RNAcentral. Lineage: Eukaryota; Metazoa; Nematoda; Enoplea; Dorylaimida; Dorylaimidae.